Gammaproteobacteria bacterium is the source of this 352-nucleotide non-coding RNA. The record is from Rfam. NCBI's taxonomy places the organism in Bacteria, Pseudomonadati, Pseudomonadota, Gammaproteobacteria.
GGGGGUGUCCUGGCUUCGACGGGGGUCGCGAAGUCGACUGGUGCAUGCCGAGGGGGCGACUUUCCUCGUUAAUCCAGUAGCAAAAUUUAGUUGCCAACGACGACAACUACGCUCUCGCCGCUUAAGGCGUAAGCCCUGAACCCACUUGUGCCCGUGCUCGUGGAUGUAAGGUCAUUAUCACGGAACAGCUUCCGGCGGCGACCCGCCAACUGGAAGUGAACUUAGCGGGUGUGUCAGACGGUGUGCCUCGCACGUUGUGUUGCCGGCUGACGAGAACGAACAACGAGCUAAGCAUGUAGUACCGGAGAUGUAGUGCUCUCGGACGGGGGUUCAACUCCCCCCACCUCCACCA